GGCACUCUGGUAUCACGGUACCUUUGUGUC
This 30-nucleotide unclassified non-coding RNA is filed under the name Coxsackievirus B3. RNAcentral's name for it is "stemloop-D RNA of the 5'-cloverleaf of coxsackievirus B3 from Coxsackievirus B3 (PDB 1RFR, chain A)". The record is from RNAcentral. Lineage: Riboviria; Orthornavirae; Pisuviricota; Pisoniviricetes; Picornavirales; Picornaviridae.